UCGACUUACCCAGCAAGAAGGGACAGUAUGAGCAAUACAAGCUUCCCCACUGCUUCCUAGUCCAUGUGCCUCAGCCCUGACCCGGAGGAACCACUCCUGGAGGUGAGAGA
RNAcentral lists this small RNA (110 nucleotides) under Chelonoidis abingdonii (Abingdon island giant tortoise). RNAcentral's name for it is "TUC338 (ENSCABG00000016205.1)". The record is from RNAcentral. Lineage: Eukaryota; Metazoa; Chordata; Testudines; Testudinidae.